RNAcentral lists this transfer RNA (72 nucleotides) under Ovis aries (sheep). It matches the Rfam family "tRNA". From Rfam's summary of the family: Transfer RNA (tRNA) molecules are approximately 80 nucleotides in length. Their secondary structure includes four short double-helical elements and three loops (D, anti-codon, and T loops). Further hydrogen bonds mediate the characteristic L-shaped molecular structure. tRNAs have two regions of fundamental functional importance: the anti-codon, which is responsible for specific mRNA codon recognition, and the 3' end, to which the tRNAs corresponding amino acid is attached (by aminoacyl-tRNA synthetases). tRNAs cope with the degeneracy of the genetic code in two manners: having more than one tRNA (with a specific anti-codon) for a particular amino acid; and 'wobble' base-pairing, i.e. permitting non-standard base-pairing at the 3rd anti-codon position. The record is from Rfam by way of RNAcentral. Lineage: Eukaryota; Metazoa; Chordata; Mammalia; Artiodactyla; Bovidae.
UCCCUGAUGGCUCAGAAGGUAGAGCAUCUGUCUGCAAUGCAGGAGAUCCGGGUUUGAUCCUUGGGUGGGGAA